CAAAGGUACUAGCCCUCUUGAGGCCACGUGGUAUAGGAAGAAGAGGCUAGACUACGACAAAAGGAGAAUAAAAAGAGGAUUUUUCUUUCUCUGCUAAAGAAUUGGGCCUUUACCCUUGAAGAUGCAAAGCAGGAGUUGAUAUGUGAGAUUAUUGUUAAAGGAUUUUCUAAGCAUCUGAAGACGAAAUCAAGAGCCAUGGAUUGAAUAAACAGACUGAGAAGCUUCAUUAACUUUUUUCAAGCUAAUGGGGGAAUGAGGGCAUCUAUCUGCAAACCAGGAAGAGGACUCUCACCAGGAACCCAAUUGACUGGAACUAUGAUCUUGAACUCCCCAGCCUCCAGAACUGUGAUAAAUAAAUUUCUGUGUAUGCCGCUCA
Leopardus geoffroyi (Geoffroy's cat) is the source of this 376-nucleotide long non-coding RNA. RefSeq lists it as uncharacterized. Lineage: Eukaryota; Metazoa; Chordata; Mammalia; Carnivora; Felidae. The record is from RefSeq and is a predicted model, not a curated record. The transcript has 4 exons.